This 189-nucleotide ribosomal RNA is filed under the name uncultured bacterium. RNAcentral's name for it is "partial 16S ribosomal RNA". It matches the Rfam family "Bacterial small subunit ribosomal RNA", at positions 1303 to 1500 of the family's 1533-position model. The record is from RNAcentral.
GGCUGCAACCCGCCUGCACGAAGCCGGAGUUGCUAGUAAUCGCGAAUCAGAAUGUCGCGGUGAAUGCGUUCCCGGGUCUUGUACACACCGCCCGUCACACCAUGGAAGUUGGGGGGUGCCCAAAGCCGGCAAGCAAAUAUGCUGUCUAAGGCAAAACCAAUGACUGGGGUGAAGUCGUAACAAGGUACC